Molecule: long non-coding RNA, 1236 nt
Filed under: Pelobates cultripes (western spadefoot toad)
Lineage: Eukaryota; Metazoa; Chordata; Amphibia; Anura; Pelobatidae
Source: RNAcentral
UUACUUUUAAAAUAGUUUAUUUAUUUCGGAAAAUAGACAUCAGUUUUGAAAAAUGUCAGAAAAUAAAUCUAAGAUUAACAGUCUGAGAUCAGAAGGUGGAGAGGCCAGACACAUUGUAACAUAAUACUGUGCAGGAUACAAAAAUAUAUAUUUAUAUAAUUAGAUGGACAAACAGAAUAAACUGGGAGUGAAUGACAUGGAAAGGAGGACACUCUGUAUGACAGACUAGUAAAUAAAGGUCAAGAAGAGAAAUCAGCUCUAAUGUGUGGGGGAACCUAGAGCUCUGUGAUUAUGGGGGUGAAGCUGUAAUGUGUGGGGUAACCUAGAGCUCUGUGAUUAUGGGGGGUGAAGCUGUAAUGUGUGGAGGAACCUAGAGCUCUGUGAUUAUGGGGGGUGAACCUAGAGCUCUGUGAUUAUGGGGGUGAAGCUGUAAUGUGUGGGGGAACCUAGAGCUCUGAUUAUGGGGGGUGAACCUAGAGCUCUGUGAUUAUGGGGGUGAAGCUGUAAUGUGUGGGGGAACCUAGAGCUCUGUGAUUAUGGGGGGUGAAGCUGUAAUGUGUGGGGGAACCUAGAGCUCUGUGAUUAUGGGGGGUGAAGCUGUAAUGUGUGGGGGAACCUAGAGCUCUGUGAUUAUGGGGGUGAAGCUGUAAUGUGUGGGGGAACCUAGAGCUCUGUGAUUAUGGGGGGUGAAGCUGUAAUGUGUGGGGGAACCUAGAAAUCUGUUUUUUUGGGGUGAAGCUGUAAGGUGUGAGGGGAACCCAGAGCUCUGUCAUUAUGGGGGUGAAGCUGUAAGAUGUGGGGUAACCUAGAGCUCUGUUUAUGUGGGGGUGAAGCUGUAAGGUGUGGCAGAACCUAGAGCUCUGAUUAUGGGGGGGUGAAGCUUUAAGGUGUGGCAGAACCUAGAGAUCUGAUUUUUGGGGUGAAGCUGUAAGGUGUGGCAGAACCUAGAGAUCUAAUUUUUGGGGUGAAGCUGUAAGGUUUGGGGGAACCUUGAGAUCUGAUUUUUUUGGGGUGAAGCUGUAAGGUGUAGAUAAAUUCAGAGAUGUGAUUUUUUUGGGGGUGAAGCUGUAAGGUGUGGAGAAACCUAGAGAUCUGAUUUUUUGGGGGUGAAGCUGUAAGGUUUGGGGGAACCUUGAGCUCUGAUUAUGGGGGUGAAGCUGUAAGGUGUGGAGAAACCUAGAGAUCUGAUUUUUUGGGGGUGAAGCUGUAAGGUGUGGAGAAACCUAGAGAUCUGAU